RNAcentral lists this ribosomal RNA (443 nucleotides) under uncultured bacterium. RNAcentral describes it as "partial 16S ribosomal RNA". It matches the Rfam family "Bacterial small subunit ribosomal RNA", at positions 338 to 795 of the family's 1533-position model. The record is from RNAcentral.
CCUACGGGGGGCAGCAGUGGGGGAUAUUGGACAAUGGGGGAAACCCUGAUCCAGCGACGCCGCGUGAGUGAAGCAGUAUUUCGGUAUGUAAAGCUCUAUCAGCAGGGAAGAAAGAAAUGACGGUACCUGAGUAAGAAGCCCCGGCUAACUACGUGCCAGCAGCCGCGGUAAUACGUAGGGGGCAAGCGUUAUCCGGAAUUACUGGGUGUAAAGGGAGCGUAGACGGUAAUGCAAGUCUGGAGUGAAAGGCGGGGGCACAACCCCCGGACUGCUCUGGAAACUGUGUAACUGGAGUGCAGGAGAGGCAGGCGGAAUUCCUAGUGGAGCGGUGAAAUGCGUAGAUAUUAGGAGGAACACCAGGGGCGAAGGCGGCCUGCUGGACUGUAACUGACGUUGAGGCUCGAAAGCGUGGGGAGCAAACAGGAUUAGAUACCCGGGUAGUC